This 492-nucleotide ribosomal RNA is filed under the name uncultured bacterium. Its description in RNAcentral is "partial 16S ribosomal RNA". It matches the Rfam family "Bacterial small subunit ribosomal RNA", at positions 29 to 507 of the family's 1533-position model. The record is from RNAcentral.
AGUGAACGCUGGCGGUAGGCCUAACACAUGCAAGUCGAACGGCAGCACAGUAAGAGCUUGCUCUUACGGGUGGCGAGUGGCGGACGGGUGAGGAAUACAUCGGAAUCUACUUUUUCGUGGGGGAUAACGUAGGGAAACUUACGCAAAUAACGCAUACGACCUACGGGUGAAAGCAGGGGAUCUUCGGACCUUGCGCGAUUGAAUGAGCCGAUGUCGGAUUAGCUAGUUGGCGGGGUAAAGGCCCACCAAGGCGACGAUCCGUAGCUGGUCUGAGAGGAUGAUCAGCCACACGGGAACUGAGACACGGUCCAGACUCCUACGGGAGGCAGCAGUGGGGAAUAUUGGACAAUGGGCGCAAGCCUGAUCCAGCCAUACCGCGUGGGUGAAGAAGGCCUUCGGGUUGUAAGGCCCUUUUGUUGGGAAAGAAAAGCAGCAGGUUAAUACCCCGCUGUUCUGACGGUACCCAAAGAAUAAGCACCGGCUAACUUCGUG